UUGUACUAGGAUCAGUUACGAAAGUAAGGCCUAACGAUCCCUAAAUAGCCUCAGGUGCGUGAGGAUUGGGGUGACAGACAAGUUACCUCCGGGACAACUGGCUUGUGGCUGCUAAGAGAUCAAAUCAACGCAGCUUUUUGAUUCUUCGAUGUCGGCUCUUCCUAUCCUAGUGAUGUACAAGUUGCUAAGGGUCGGAUUGUUCACCCGUAUUAGGGAUCGUGAGCUGGGUUUAGACCGUCGUGAGCCAGGUUUGUUUUAUCCUACUGGAUAUAGCAUCAUGAUAGUAGAUUGAUUUAGUACGAGAGGAACUGUUGAUUAUGGCCUCUGGUUAGCGAUUAUCGGAAACGGUAUGUCGCGCAGCUACGCCGUCUGGGAUAAUGGCUGAAAGCCUCUUAAGCCAGAAGCCCAUCUAGAAAGUGAUGCACGUGAUGUUGGACCGAUACGAAUAAUCAUACUCAAAAGGUCCGCUUCAUAGGUAACCCAAUGUAGAAGACAUUGUGUGAACGAAGGUACUGUAAGCAGUGGAGUGGCAUUACGUCCACGACCUGUUGAGGUUCAGCUUCGCUUCUAGGUUUCC
RNAcentral lists this non-coding RNA (577 nucleotides) under Trichomonas vaginalis G3. RNAcentral describes it as "Eukaryotic large subunit ribosomal RNA". It matches the Rfam family "Eukaryotic large subunit ribosomal RNA", at positions 2735 to 3401 of the family's 3401-position model. The record is from Rfam by way of RNAcentral. Lineage: Eukaryota; Parabasalia; Trichomonadida; Trichomonadidae.